GACAGAGGUGCCGAGCGUUAGGCGGAAUCACUGGGCUUAAAGCGUGUGUAGGCGGGCCGUUAAGUGUCUUGUGAAAUCCCCCGACUCAACCGGGGAAUUGCUGGGCAUACUGGCGGUCUUGAGCAGUCUAGGGGCAGAUGGAACAAGUGGUGGAGCGGUGAAAUGCGUAGAUAUCACUUGGAACGCCAAAGGUGAAGACAGUCUGCUGGGGACUUGCUGACGCUGAGACACGAAAGCCAGGGGAGCGAACGGG
This 253-nucleotide ribosomal RNA is filed under the name uncultured bacterium. Its description in RNAcentral is "partial 16S ribosomal RNA". It matches the Rfam family "Bacterial small subunit ribosomal RNA", at positions 524 to 776 of the family's 1533-position model. The record is from RNAcentral.